Molecule: long non-coding RNA, 785 nt
Organism: Brachypodium distachyon (stiff brome)
Lineage: Eukaryota; Viridiplantae; Streptophyta; Magnoliopsida; Poales; Poaceae
Exons: 2
Source: RefSeq, a predicted model, not a curated record
GUCGUGGUCGUCGUAGGAGGUCGCCGAACUCCCGCCGCCGUUGUUGAUGAUGAGCUCCGUGGUGGCGCUCAUGGAGGUCAACAGCUCCGGGUUGUUUCUGGAGUUGGAGUUGGAAGAAGACAUGACCCUCUUCUUCAGGAAGGCCAAGAAUGGAGAGCCAGGAGGGACACAAGCAAGAGACAGAACAGUUAGGAUCCAGAAGGAUUUGCAUUGCAAGGAUCAACAAGAUGAAAAUGCUACUUGGCAAGGCGCACCAAAUAUAUAAACAAGGACCUUCCGGACACAAGUGAGCCAUGUUGAGGAACUUUGGGUGCUAAUCACAAUGUUCGUUCCUUCCACAUUCACCCAGUGUUGGAACAGCUGAGUUUCUUCUUCAGGUCAUGCUGCGGGCGUAUUCACCUAUUCGUUAAGCCGUAGAACGGUGGAGAUCGCGUCAAUUGAGACUGUUUUGUGUGAUCUUGGUGAUAUGUGGCACUGGGCUACUGGACUUAGAUCAUGCUAAAUUGCAAAGGAGAUGCUACCUGUUUCAGUUGGCAGUUCACAUCAUCAUGCAUCCCUGAAGACUUUGUCCUUUCUUCACACUUGUUGUUUUCAGGAAAUCUUAGUGUGUAUCACUGUAUGGGUCCAUCCAUUUUUCCUUUAAUCUCUGCUCAAGUUCCUCACUCAUGAAAAAGAAAGACCUCCUCUACAGUGGCAGAAAAACAGAACAAAAGUUUGGCUCAUGCAAAACAAAUGUUUAAGAUUCCUUCGCAUUAAUAACUGUUUUGCUUUAAGAUCCGUGUAAA